This 4258-nucleotide long non-coding RNA is filed under the name Sus scrofa (pig). RNAcentral describes it as "lncRNA (ENSSSCG00000056327.1)". Lineage: Eukaryota; Metazoa; Chordata; Mammalia; Artiodactyla; Suidae. The record is from RNAcentral.
UCUCUGCCCAAAAAGAAAUGAUUAAUGUUCUAUAUUUCUUCAUUUUACCAAAUUUCCUCUCUGCUCUUCUGCAUGGUCUCUCUAAACACUCUGAUUUCUAUGCCUGUUAUCCUAUAAUCUAGGAAAAGUAGUUACCUUUCCAAAUCUCAUUUUUUCUUCAAAAGGUUUCUAUAUAGACCCAAUAGUAGUAAUCAUGAACACUGAGUUUGAAAAAAAAUGCAUUCAAUAUCAUUAUUUUGUUCUUGAUGCAAUGUUUAUUUACUCUAAAUAAUUUUAAUUUGAAUAAUACUUUAUUACAUUUAUUAUUAUCAUUAAUAUUCCUCCCAAAUAUUCAUAGAUGUUUAUAUUUAAGAAAGUGAGUCAUGUACAGUCACAACAAAUAUCACACCCGGGAUUGCAGACAACUCUAUUCAAAAAGAACAGAAAAACAACCCAAGGUAUGUCAUCUUUAUAAGGUGUCAAAGAAGCAAUUUAAGCAACUUCCUUUGAAUUAGGAAAGUGGAAUUAAUAGGUAUAAAUAAUAAGUAGAAAUUCAGAAAAGAAAAAUGAUACUUUUGAAAGAUUCUACAAAUCAGUUAGUGUUGUAAAAAUUAAUAUUUAUAACCAAAAACACGUAGAAAUGUUGAAUUUAUUUUGGCACACUGAAGGGGGAUUAACUUUUAUGAGAAUGGUUAGAAUAAAUGAGUAAUUAAGGAAAAAUUAAUUAUAUUUGAAUUUUUUUCUUCUUGGGAAUUAAAACCAGAGCAGAGAAUUUAAGAAUAAUUCAAUACUGUUUAAUGGACACAGUUCUUAACAUAGAGCACAAUUAAGAAUCUUUAAAAAAAUAUAGGGCUCUGGACCUCAACUCUAAACCAAAUAAAUGAGACCCUGUGGAUAUGGAAUCCAGAAUUGGUGUUAAAACUUGCCAGAUAUUUCUCACUGUGACCAGGUCAAACACUACUCAUUUUGAGAUAUUUAAUGGUGGAUGGGAGUAGGAACAUAGGCAGAAUAACAGCCUCCAAAUAUUUUCACAAACCUAUCUCCAGAGUUUAUGAAUGUGUAACUUGAUAUGACAAAAGGGACUUUACAUAUGUAGUAAAGGUAAGGGUUUUGAGAUGGCAAGAUUAUCAUGGAUUAUUUAAAAGAGACCAAUAGAAUCCAAGGGUCCUUGAAAAAUGGAGGAAUGCUGGACCAAAGUGACAUGAGGGGCAGGGGAUGGUAUCCAUGGCAGAUACUGGCCUCACAGUGCCUCUCAUGAUGAGAAAUGUGUUCUGGGUCUUCAUAGGCUUCCUGGGUCAUCCCUAAGGGUCCUAACCUCUAUCAUCACCAUGUUGAUUACAUGUUCAGUUUGCCUCUAUCUCUUUUGACUGAUUGCAAUUCUGACCCAACUCAACCCUCUCUUUGGACCACAGCUGAUAAAGGAAACUAUCUGUUACCUCAAGCAUCAUUGGCCUUGAGGAAGAAGACCAGCACACCAGUCAUUAAGUCACAAAAGAAUUCCUCUAGAUUCAAAAGUCACCUCUAUACCCAAUGCCUUCCUUGACUCACCUAUUCUGGCCAUCAGAUACAUUAAAUAUUCACAUGACAUUUGAAUAUCUUAUUCUACAAUGUUUCUACUUUUUUUUUCCUGUCAAAUUUUGUAUACUUUGAUGACUGUUGUGCCUAUUUAACUUAAACUGUGCUAUUUCCAUAACACAUUUAUGUUGUCUUCUGAGAUACAAAAUGCUGUUUUUCUGAAAAACAUGUUGCUUUCUCCUUGGAAGCUGAAGGUUUGAAUAUGGCCUCUACCUGCUCGGAACAUGGGAAUUGGUGAAGUAUUUAAAAACUGUUAACAAGACAAUAAGAUUUCGGUGAAACAGUCAGUGGGAAAACAUGUUCAGAGGGAAAAUCUGUCUCACCAGAUUUAUACCAGUACACAUUUUCAAGGUGAAUUUCUUAUUUCUGCCAUCUUUUAGAAUAAAUUAUCUUUCUGUGACCUAUGGGAAAAAUGGGAGAAGUGUCAGAGUCAGAUAUGUGACCAUGGAAACAGAAGUUGGAGUAAUGCAGAGCCAUGAGCCAAGGAAUACAGUUAGCCUCUGGAAUAUAUAAGACAAGGAAGUGAAUUCUCCUGUAGAGCUCUCAGAAAGAAUAGAGUUCUGCUGACUCUUUUUAGACUUCUAGACUACAAAACUGAACAACUGUAAAUUUGUGUCGUUUUAAGCAACUAAAUUUGUAUAAAUCGUUUUAAGUAGUGAAAUAAAGCUGAUGCUGCUGACUGCUUAAAAGGGUGCAUACCUAAAUGAUCAUGCUUCAUGGUAAGAUAAGAAUCAAGAUGAGCAGACAUUGCUGCUUUGGGUCCUUUGUAUCACUGGUUCUCUUUCAAGUCAUUCUAAUUCUCUUCUUCCAGGUACUGGUAUUUUCUAUUAAUAGGGUAAGCUGAAGUAAUUUCCUGUUUAUUUCUGUUCUCCAUAAAUCCAAAGUGAUUACUGUGAAAAUUUUAAAAUUAUAUGUAUGUGGAUAACAAGAAUUAACCAGGAUGAAACAGAAAAUAUGAAGAAAUCAAUUACCAGUAAUGAAAUUGAAUCAGUAAUUUUUAAAACUCCCAACAAACAAAAGCCCAGGACUAGAUAGCUUUACAGGUUAAUUCUCCUGAUCCUAAAAUGAAGAGUUAGCACCUCUUUUUCUCAAAUUAUUCCAAAAACUUGCAGAGAAAAAUUCAUUCUAUGGAGCCAGGAUCACCUUAAUAGCAAAACCCAGACACAGGUACCACAAAAAAGAAAAUUACAGAUCAGCAUCAUUGAUGAAUAUAGAGGCAAAAAUUCUCAAAAAAUGAGUAAACCAAAUUCAACUAAUACAUUAUAAGCAUCAUACACCAUGAGUGAGUCAGAUAUAUUCCAAAGAUGUAAGGAUGGUCAGUAUUCAUGAAUCAAUCAAUGUGAUACACCACAUUAACAAAUUAAAAAUAAAAUCAUAUGAUCAUCUCAACAGAUACAGAAAAAGCUUUGACGGAAUUCAACCCCAUUUAUAACCAAAAACUCAAAAAAGGAGUAUAAAGGGAACAUACUUUAACAUAACAAAGGUCAUGUAUGACAGGCACACAAGUGACAUCACACUCAAUGUUGAAAACUUGAAAGCAUUUUCUCUAAGUUACACAAGUAUGCUCACUCUUGACAUUUUUAUUCAACACAGUAUCAGAAGUCCUAGCCGUAGCAAUCAGACAAGUAAAAUAAAUGAAAGAAAUACAAAUUGGAAAGAAAGACUUAAAAAUUUCAGUGUUUGCAGAUGACAUGAUACUGUACAUAGAAAAUCCUAAAGACUCUACUAAGAAACUAUUAGAACUCAUUGAUGAAUUCAGUAAAUUUGCAAGAUACAAAAUUAAUAUGCUGAAAGUUUAUUGGAUUUUUAUCAGAAAGAAAUAAAGAAAACAAACCCAUUUGUAAUUGUAUCAAAAAAAACCAAUAUACCUAGGGUUAAAGACCUGUACUCAGAAAACUGUAAGACACUGAUAAAAGAAAUUGAAGGUUGUACUAACAAAGCUAAUGGAUUAGAAUAAUGAAUAUUGUUAAAAUUACCAUGUUAUCCAAGGCAAUCUACAGAUUAAGUGCCAUUUCUAUCAAAAUAUAAAUUACAUUUUUUCACAGAAAUAGAACAAAUAAUUCUAAUAUUUCUUUGGCAAUACCAAAGAUUAUGAGUAGUCAAAAAAUCUUGAGCAAGAAAAACAAAGCUUAUGGUAUCAUGCUCCCUGACUUCAGAUCAUACUAAAGAGCUACAGCAAUCAAAACAGUAUACUACUGGCAAAAAAACGGACACAUAGAUCAGAGGAACAGAAGAGAGAGAGCCCAGAAAUGGUCAAUUUAUUUAUGACAAAGCAGGCAAGAAUUUAUACAAUGGGGAAAAAGCAGCCUCUUCAGUGAUGUUGAGAAAACUGGACAGCUGCAUGCAAGAGAAUCAAAAUGGACUACUUUAUUGUACCAUAUACAAAAAUAAACUCAAAAUGGAUUAAAGACUAAAAUAUUAGACCUGAAACCAUAAAAAAUGCUAGAAGCAAACAUAGACAGUAUAAUCUUUAACACCGGUCUUGGCAAUAUUCCUUUGGAUAUGUCUCCACAGGCAAGGGAAACAAAAGCGAUAAUAAACAGAUAGAAAUACACCAACUGAAGUAAUUUUACUUACUUUUGCACAGUAAAUAACUUUAACAACAAAAUAAAGACUGUCUACUGAAUGGAAGAAGAUAUUUGCAAAUGAUAUAUCUGAUAAGGGGCUAAUAUGCAAAAUAUACAGAGAACUCAUACAAUUCAAC